CACAGGGCCCAGGACGGUGGCUCUGAUUCGCUGUACCCCAGGGACGGCACUGCCUGUGCGUGAUGAACAGACAGCGGUGCCCAAACACCUCAAGGCGCGCAAACAAACCCAAAGCUAAGGGAGGUUCUAGCCCUCAUGGUUGCAGGGAAAAGACUGAAAAUGUGAAGCACGUGCACACUUAACGGCUCAGAAACCAGAAGAAACAAAAACUUAACAUGUAUUAUUUUUAAAACCCCUCUGGACUUUUAAGCCAAAUCUCA
Molecule: long non-coding RNA, 260 nt
Organism: Trachemys scripta elegans
Lineage: Eukaryota; Metazoa; Chordata; Testudines; Emydidae
Exons: 2
Source: RefSeq, a predicted model, not a curated record